Molecule: transfer RNA, 18 nt
Filed under: Tragelaphus spekii (Sitatunga)
Lineage: Eukaryota; Metazoa; Chordata; Mammalia; Artiodactyla; Bovidae
Description: partial tRNA-Pro
Source: RNAcentral
UAUUUAAACUAUUCCUUG